Molecule: transfer RNA, 68 nt
Filed under: Euproctus montanus
Lineage: Eukaryota; Metazoa; Chordata; Amphibia; Caudata; Salamandridae
Description: tRNA-Ser
Source: RNAcentral
AAAAAGGAUUAUGAAAUAAAGAAACUGCUAAUUAUCUGAGCCUAAAGUUAAAAUCUUUAGCCUUUUUA